This 491-nucleotide ribosomal RNA is filed under the name uncultured bacterium. RNAcentral describes it as "partial 16S ribosomal RNA". It matches the Rfam family "Bacterial small subunit ribosomal RNA", at positions 29 to 507 of the family's 1533-position model. The record is from RNAcentral.
AGUGAACGCUGGCGGUAGGCCUAACACAUGCAAGUCGAACGGCAGCACAGUAAGAGCUUGCUCUUACGGGUGGCGAGUGGCGGACGGGUGAGGAAUACAUCGGAAUCUACUUUUUCGUGGGGGAUAACGUAGGGAAACUUACGCUAAUACCGCAUACGACCUACGGGUGAAAGCAGGGGAUCUUCGGACCUUGCGCGAUUGAAUGAGCCGAUGUCGGAUUAGCUAGUUGGCGGGGUAAAGGCCCACCAAGGCGACGAUCCGUAGCUGGUCUGAGAGGAUGAUCAGCCACACUGGAACUGAGACACGGUCCAGACUCCUACGGGAGGCAGCAGUGGGGAAUAUGGGACAAUGGGCGCAAGCCUGAUCCAGCCAUACCGCGUGGGUGAAGAAGGCCUUCGGGUUGUAAAGCCCUUUUGUUGGGAAAGAAAAGCAGCAGGUUAAUACCCCGCUGUUCUGACGGUACCCAAGAAUAAGCACCGGCUAACUUCGUG